This 533-nucleotide small RNA is filed under the name Pongo abelii (Sumatran orangutan). RNAcentral describes it as "processed transcript". The record is from RNAcentral. Lineage: Eukaryota; Metazoa; Chordata; Mammalia; Primates; Hominidae.
AGACGUUCUGGCUGUUCUCCUGUACAUUUCCUGCAAAGACCUAAUGAGAUAUGAUUACUCCAUCCUACAGCUUUCACAAUCAACAGUGUCGACAUGAAGAGCCUGCCGGACUGGACGGUGCAAAAUGGGAAGAACCUGACCCUGCAGUGCUUCGCGGAUGUCAGCACCACCUCUCACGUCAAGCCUCAGCACCAGAUGCUGUUCUAUAAGGAUGACGUGCUGUUUUACAACAUCUCCUCCAUGAAGAGCACAGAGAGUUAUUUUAUUCCUGAAGUCCGGAUCUAUGACUCAGGGACGUAUAAAUGUACUGUGAUUGUGAACAACAAAGAGAAAACCACAUCAGAGUACCAGGUGUUGGUGGAAGGAGUGCCCAAUCCCAGGGUGACACUGGACAAGAAAGAGGCCAUCCAAGGCGGGGUCGUGAGGGUCAACUGUUCUGUCCCAGAGGAAAAGGCCCCAAUAUACUUCACAAUUGAAAAACUUGAACUAAAUAAAAAAAUGGCCAAGCAAAAAAGAGAGAAGGCUUCUCGGGA